UUGGAUGUGGUGUAAUGGUAGCACGGCUGCUUGUGGCGCAGUGAGCAUGGGUUCGAUCCCCAUCAUCCGAC
This 71-nucleotide transfer RNA is filed under the name Flavobacteriales bacterium. RNAcentral describes it as "tRNA-His". It matches the Rfam family "tRNA". Rfam says of the family: Transfer RNA (tRNA) molecules are approximately 80 nucleotides in length. Their secondary structure includes four short double-helical elements and three loops (D, anti-codon, and T loops). Further hydrogen bonds mediate the characteristic L-shaped molecular structure. tRNAs have two regions of fundamental functional importance: the anti-codon, which is responsible for specific mRNA codon recognition, and the 3' end, to which the tRNAs corresponding amino acid is attached (by aminoacyl-tRNA synthetases). tRNAs cope with the degeneracy of the genetic code in two manners: having more than one tRNA (with a specific anti-codon) for a particular amino acid; and 'wobble' base-pairing, i.e. permitting non-standard base-pairing at the 3rd anti-codon position. The record is from RNAcentral. Lineage: Bacteria; Pseudomonadati; Bacteroidota; Flavobacteriia; Flavobacteriales.